CGUGGGGCAUGUCCCUGGGGGUUCCGCCAGCGCCCAUCUCCCACUCCAUGUCUGAGGCUGGAAGCACCAACACCAAGCAGCAGAUGGGCCACGGCAGUGCUCUUCAUCCCCUAGCAGCCCAUAGCUCUGCCGACAUUUCAAACUCCAUCCUUCUGCUUCCUGCUGCCACCUGAUUUUGUUUUGCUCGGCCUGUGAGCGCCUGAGUUCCUGCUUUCUUACGUCUCUCUCAGAGUAAUUAAGAGCCUUACGGAGGUGGGUUUUUUUUCUGUUUCAAAGCCUCCCACAGCCCUCACACCCCCUAUCUGUCAGCACUGCUUGAAGUCAAUCACCAGGAAAAACUCCAACUCAGAAAAAUUAAGAGCCUUACGGAGGGGGCAAGCGUUUUCCCUCUCAAAGCCUCCCGCAGCCCUCACUGCUCCCUGUCAGCACUGCUUGAAGUCAAUCACCAGGAAAAACUCCAACUCAGGUGAGCAACUUUCAAUGAUUCUAACACCACCAAGCCUCAGGUGCUCCUUCACAGCCUCUUAUUUUAGGCCACCUGGCUUUAGGUUAAGAUUAACCCCUCAGGGGUACAUGAAAGGACCGAGGGAUGCUGAUGGGUGUGAAAAGAGGAAGUUUCCAGAGAUCCCUUAAGAGACCCGUCAUAGGUUUGAAGACAGGUUUGAAGUUCUGUAGUUUGAUAUAUGUGACAAAUUCCAACUAAAGAACACCUGAGGCAUUUCAGUGUUCUCUUGAGUAGAGUUAAAGGGCAGGAUUCAAGUUAGUUAUAUUUUAGUUAUUUUUCAUAGUCAUUAAAUAACAUGAAUAUAACUUGUUUUACUACGCUUUUAAAAACAUUGUCAUCUCUGAGUUUCCAUUGUGCCUCAGUGGGUUAAGAACAGGACAUAGUAUCCAUGAGGAUGCAGGUUCAAUCCCUGACCUCACACAGUGGGUUAAGCAUCUGGUAUUGCUGCAAGCUGCAAUAUACAUUGCAAAUGCAUCUUGGAUGCAGCGUUGCUGUGGCUGUGGCCAAGCUAGCAGCUGCAGCUUGCAUUCAGCCCGUAG
Molecule: long non-coding RNA, 1044 nt
Filed under: Sus scrofa (pig)
Lineage: Eukaryota; Metazoa; Chordata; Mammalia; Artiodactyla; Suidae
Description: lncRNA (ENSSSCG00070017239.1)
Source: RNAcentral